UAUGGGUUGUAAACUUCUUUUGUAUAGGGAUAAACCUANAUACGUGUAUCUAGCUGAAGGUACUAUACNAAUAANCACCGGCUAACUCCGUGCCAGCAGCCGCGGUAAUACGGAGGGUGCAAGCGUUAUCCGGAUUUAUUGGGUUUAAAGGGUCCGUAGGCGGAUUUGUAAGUCAGUGGUGAAAUCUCACAGCUUAACUGUGAAACUGCCAUUGAUACUGCAAGUCUUGAGUGUUGUUGAAGUANCUGGAAUAANUAGUGUAGCGGUGAAAUGCAUAGAUAUUACUUAGAACACCAAUUGCGAAGGCAGGUUACUAAGCAACAACUGACGCUGAUGGACGAAAGCGUGGGGAGCGAACAGGAUUANAUACCCUGGUAGUCCACGCCGUAAACGAUGCUAACUCGUUUUUGGANNGCAAGCUUCAGAGACUAAGCGAAAGUGAUAAGUUAGCCACCUGGGGAGUACGAACG
RNAcentral lists this ribosomal RNA (470 nucleotides) under uncultured Chryseobacterium sp. Its description in RNAcentral is "bacterial SSU rRNA". It matches the Rfam family "Bacterial small subunit ribosomal RNA", at positions 417 to 888 of the family's 1533-position model. The record is from RNAcentral. Lineage: Bacteria; Pseudomonadati; Bacteroidota; Flavobacteriia; Flavobacteriales; Weeksellaceae.